UACGAAGGGGACUAGCGUUGUUCGGAUUUACUGGGCGUAAAGCGCGCGUAGGCGGAUCGCUAAGUCAGGGGUGAAAUCCCAGGGCUCAACCCUGGAACUGCCUUUGAUACUGACGAUCUGGAGAUCGGGAGAGGUUGGUGGAAUUCCGAGUGUAGAGGUGAAAUUCGUAGAUAUUCGGAGGAACACCAGAAGCGAAGGCGGCCAACUGGCCCGAUACUGACGCUGAGACACGAAAGCGUGGGGAGCAAACAGG
This 253-nucleotide ribosomal RNA is filed under the name uncultured bacterium. RNAcentral describes it as "partial 16S ribosomal RNA". It matches the Rfam family "Bacterial small subunit ribosomal RNA", at positions 524 to 776 of the family's 1533-position model. The record is from RNAcentral.